UGGGGAAUAUUGCACAAUGGGGGAAACCCUGAUGCAGCGACGCCGCGUGAAGGAAGAAGUAUUUCGGUAUGUAAACUUCUAUCAGCAGGGAAGAAAAUGACGGUACCUGACUAAGAAGCCCCGGCUAACUACGUGCCAGCAGCCGCGGUAAUACGUAGGGGGCAAGCGUUAUCCGGAUUUACUGGGUGUAAAGGGAGCGUAGACGGAGCGGCAAGUCUGGAGUGAAAACCCGGGGCUUAACCCUGGGACUGCUUUGGAAACUGUCGUUCUUGAGUGCCGGAGGGGUAAGCGGAAUUCCUAGUGUAGCGGUGAAAUGCGUAGAUAUUAGGAGGAACACCAGUGGCGAAGGCGGCUUACUGGACGGCAACUGACGUUGAGGCUCGAAAGCGUGGGGAGCAAACA
Molecule: ribosomal RNA, 402 nt
Filed under: uncultured bacterium
Lineage: Bacteria
Description: bacterial SSU rRNA
Rfam family: Bacterial small subunit ribosomal RNA
Source: RNAcentral